AGAAACCUCGCAUAGCGGGCGGCCGUCA
This 28-nucleotide small RNA is filed under the name Bombyx mori (domestic silkworm). Its description in RNAcentral is "ovarian small RNA-11742". The record is from RNAcentral. Lineage: Eukaryota; Metazoa; Arthropoda; Insecta; Lepidoptera; Bombycidae.